RNAcentral lists this ribosomal RNA (1358 nucleotides) under uncultured bacterium. Its description in RNAcentral is "bacterial SSU rRNA". It matches the Rfam family "Bacterial small subunit ribosomal RNA", at positions 28 to 1381 of the family's 1533-position model. The record is from RNAcentral.
GAUGAACGCUAGCUACAGGCUUAACACAUGCAAGUCGAGGGGCAGCAUGGUCUUAGCUUGCUAAGGCCGAUGGCGACCGGCGCACGGGUGAGUAACACGUAUCCAACCUGCCGUCUACUCUUGGACAGCCUUCUGAAAGGAAGAUUAAUACAAGAUGGCAUCAUGAGUCCACAUGUUCACAUGAUUAAAGGUAUUCCGGUAGACGAUGGGGAUGCGUUCCAUUAGAUAGUAGGCGGGGUAAUGGCCCACCUAGUCUUCGAUGGAUAGGGGUUCUGAGAGGAAGGUCCCCCACAUUGGAACUGAGACACGGUCCAAACUCCUACGGGAGGCAGCAGUGAGGAAUAUUGGUCAAUGGGCGAGAGCCUGAACCAGCCAAGUAGCGUGAAGGAUGACUGCCCUAUGGGUUGUAAACUUCUUUUAUAAAGGAAUAAAGUCGGGUAUGCAUACCCGUUUGCAUGUACUUUAUGAAUAAGGAUCGGCUAACUCCGUGCCAGCAGCCGCGGUAAUACGGAGGAUCCGAGCGUUAUCCGGAUUUAUUGGGUUUAAAGGGAGCGUAGAUGGACGUUUAAGUCAGUUGUGAAAGUUUGCGGCUCAACCGUAAAAUUGCAGUUGAUACUGGAUAUCUUGAGUGCAGUUGAGGCAGGCGGAAUUCGUGGUGUAGCGGUGAAAUGCUUAGAUAUCACGAAGAACUCCGAUUGCGAAGGCAGCCUGCUAAGCUGCAACUGACAUUGAGGCUCGAAAGUGUGGGUAUCAAACAGGAUUAGAUACCCUGGUAGUCCACACGGUAAACGAUGAAUACUCGCUGUUUGCGAUAUACAGCAAGCGGCCAAGCGAAAGCGUUAAGUAUUCCACCUGGGGAGUACGCCGGCAACGGUGAAACUCAAAGGAAUUGACGGGGGCCCGCACAAGCGGAGGAACAUGUGGUUUAAUUCGAUGAUACGCGAGGAACCUUACCCGGGCUUAAAUUGCAGAUGAAUUACGGUGAAAGCCGUAAGCCGCAAGGCAUCUGUGAAGGUGCUGCAUGGUUGUCGUCAGCUCGUGCCGUGAGGUGUCGGCUUAAGUGCCAUAACGAGCGCAACCCUUGUUGUCAGUUACUAACAGGUUCCGCUGAGGACUCUGACAAGACUGCCAUCGUAAGAUGUGAGGAAGGUGGGGAUGACGUCAAAUCAGCACGGCCCUUACGUCCGGGGCUACACACGUGUUACAAUGGGGGGUACAGAGGGCCGCUACCACGCGAGUGGAUGCCAAUCCCAAAAACCUCUCUCAGUUCGGACUGGAGUCUGCAACCCGACUCCACGAAGCUGGAUUCGCUAGUAAUCGCGCAUCAGCCACGGCGCGGUGAAUACGUUCCCGGGCCU